Molecule: ribosomal RNA, 1334 nt
Filed under: uncultured bacterium
Lineage: Bacteria
Description: partial 16S ribosomal RNA
Rfam family: Bacterial small subunit ribosomal RNA
Source: RNAcentral
AGGAUGAACGCUGGCGGCGUGCUUAACACAUGCAAGUCGAACGAAGCACUCGGAAGUUUUCGGACAGAAGGGUGACUGAGUGGCGGACGGGUGAGUAACGCGUGAGCAACCUGCCCUCUACUGGGGAACAACACAUCGAAAGAUGUGCUAAUACCGCAUAAGACCACAGUGCUGACAUGGUACAGGGGUCAAAGGAUUUAUUCGGUAGAGGAUGGGCUCGCGUCUGAUUAGCUAGUUGGUGAGGUAACGGCCCACCAAGGCGACGAUCAGUAGCCGGACUGAGAGGUUGAACGGCCACAUUGGGACUGAGACACGGCCCAGACUCCUACGGGAGGCAGCAGUGAGGGAUAUUGCACAAUGGGCGCAAGCCUGAUGCAGCAACGCCGCGUGAGGGAUGACGGUUUUCGGAUUGUAAACCUCUGUCUUCAGUGAUGAUAAUGACAUUAGCUGAGGAGGAAGCCACGGCUAACUACGUGCCAGCAGCCGCGGUAAUACGUAGGUGGCGAGCGUUGUCCGGAUUUACUGGGUGUAAAGGGAGCGCAGGCGGGAUUGCAAGUCAGUGGUGAAAUAUAUGGGCUUAACCCAUAGACUGCCAUUGAAACUGUAGUUCUUGAGUGAAGUAGAGGCAGGCGGAAUUCCGAGUGUAGCGGUGAAAUGCGUAGAUAUUCGGAGGAACACCAGUGGCGAAGGGCGGCUUGCUGGGCUUUUACUGACGCUGAGGCUCGAAAGUGUGGGGAGCAAACAGGAUUAGAUACCCUGGUAGUCCACACCUGUAAACGAUGAUUUACUAACCGUCGGCGAUACACAGUCGGUGGCCAAGCGAAAGCGAUAAGUCAUCCACCUGGGGAGUACGACCGCAAGGUUGAAACUCAAAGGAAUUGACGGGGGCCCGCACAAGCGGAGGAACAUGUGGUUUAAUUCGAUGAUACGCGAGGAACCUUACCCGGGCUCGAACGGCAGAUGGAUUGAGUAGAGAUAUUCAAGUCUUCGGACAUCUGUCGAGGUGCUGCAUGGUUGUCGUCAGCUCGUGCUGUGAAGUGUCGGCUUAAGUGCCAUAACGAGCGCAACCCUUAUUGAUAGUUGCUAACAGGUUAAGCUGAGGACUCUAUCGAGACUGCCAGCGCAAGCUGCGAGGAAGGCGGGGAUGACGUCAAAUCAGCACGGCCCUUACGUUCCGGGCUACACACGUACUACAAUGGUGAGAACAAAGGGAAGCGAUACCGCGAGGUGGAGCGAACCCCAUAAAAAUCAUCCCAGUUCGGACUGCAGGCUGCAACUCGCCUGCACGAAGUUGGAAUAAAUAGUAAUCGCGGAUCAGCAUGCCGCGGUGAAUA